GAUGAACGCUGACAGAAUGCUUAACACAUGCAAGUCUUUGGUGAAGCUGUGCUUGCACAGCCUAGCCAAGGCGGACGGGUGAGUAACGCGUAAGGAACUUGCCCUGCAGUCAGGGAUAACAGACGGAAACGACUGAUAAGACCUGGUAAAGUCAGGCGGACUCAUGUCCAGCCUGAUGAAAAGAGAUGCUGCAGGAGAGCCUUGCGUCCUAUUAGCUUGUUGGCGGGGUAACGGCCCACCAAGGCAAUGAUAGGUAGCCGGCCUGAGAGGGUGGACGGCCACAAGGGGACUGAGAUACGGCCCUUACUCCUACGGGAGGCAGCAGUGGGGAAUAUUGGACAAUGGGGGCAACCCUGAUCCAGCAAUUCUGUGUGCACGAUGAAGGUUUUCGGAUUGUAAAGUGCUUUCAGCAGGGAAGAAAAAAAUGACGGUACCUGCAGAAGAAGCGACGGCUAAAUACGUG
RNAcentral lists this ribosomal RNA (463 nucleotides) under uncultured bacterium. RNAcentral's name for it is "partial 16S ribosomal RNA". It matches the Rfam family "Bacterial small subunit ribosomal RNA", at positions 28 to 507 of the family's 1533-position model. The record is from RNAcentral.